Molecule: unclassified non-coding RNA, 178 nt
Filed under: Dactylella arnaudii
Lineage: Eukaryota; Fungi; Ascomycota; Orbiliomycetes; Orbiliales; Orbiliaceae
Description: partial internal transcribed spacer 2
Source: RNAcentral
CAACCCUCAGCGCAAGCUGGUUAUGAGUUGGCUGAACACUUCUGUUUACAGAGGUCGAAGUCCGGCUUUAAAGUUGUAUGCUCUGCUGGCUGCUUUGCCUGACAAAACAUAGUAAAUCUUACAUUGUUUACAGAAUGGCUUUGCGAGUCCGGCCUGAAUAAAAUCAACCCUUUCUUAG